Regulatory RNA element from Neotoma lepida (desert woodrat), 322 nucleotides. It matches the Rfam family "Mason-Pfizer monkey virus packaging signal". From Rfam's summary of the family: The packaging signal is located in the 5' UTR and is required for specific RNA encapsidation. NCBI's taxonomy places the organism in Eukaryota, Metazoa, Chordata, Mammalia, Rodentia, Cricetidae. The record is from Rfam.
UGACACCCAAUGUGGGGCUUGAGAAUGUGGAGGAUCUGUGACCGUCACACACCAAAGAAGGCCUGCAUGUCAGUUGGACCACUGUGGAGAAUGCUCCACAAACGAAGGUCCAGUCAAGUGAUUGCCACGGGGAUGCUGGACUGUGAGACAGAUCCGGGGAGUUGAUUUGUGCCAACGCUAGUUAAGUUUACCAUGGGACAAGCAUUUAGUAAGCAGGAUUUAUUUAUUNCAGGACUUAAAGAGUCUCUCAAGACACGAGGAACAAGGGUUAAAAAGAAAGAUUUUAAAAAGUUUCUUGAUUAUAUUGGGGACCUUUGUCCCU